This 210-nucleotide non-coding RNA is filed under the name Streptomyces sp. NRRL F-5122. RNAcentral describes it as "Streptomyces RNA 1601". It matches the Rfam family "Streptomyces RNA 1601". Rfam says of the family: Identified by deep sequencing of transcriptome at the end of exponential growth phase. Appears longer on northern blot than sequencing transcript. Lineage: Bacteria; Bacillati; Actinomycetota; Actinomycetes; Kitasatosporales; Streptomycetaceae. The record is from Rfam by way of RNAcentral.
GACGACCGGCCGGACAUGGCAGUGCCCGGCCCACAAGUGGAGGCUCCGAUCUCCCACCUGACCGUCCUCCGGGACGGCGGGUCACCGGUCAGGCGGCCACCACCGUUCCGUACGGACGGUGGAGUCGCCCGAAUGCGCGCCCCGCGGUUCACCCGCGCGGUGCUCCGGACGCUUUGGAGCCCCGCCUGUGUACCGUUCGGGGCAUUUUUC